GUCAUGUUUAACUGGAGUUAGAAACAUGAUAGUAGAAGAUAUCAUGCUGAACAAAAUUGAGUAUUGAACCAUGAUUUGAUUUCUUUACUUUCAAGGGAAAAUUACACAGGCAAUCUGAUUCAAAAAGUCAGUUGUAUAUGACAAGGAAUGUUCACCAUAUAAGAUCAUGAAACAAUGAAAAUAGGAAUUCAGUCUGGUCAGAAUGGUCAGAAGACUAUCCAGUAUGGUCAUAUUGUCGGUGUUUUGGGAUAGCAAAGGUGUCAUAUUGACAGAUUACUUACAAAAAUGGUCAAUAAUUAGGGCAUACUGCAGAAAUUUGCUACUAAAGUUACAAGACAAUAUCAAGGGAAAAAAAGUAUGGUUUUGUUGUGUUGAAAGAUGUGUUGUUGAUGUGCAGGUCCAUUGUUGCUAGUUUAUAAUGCAUCUGCAUACCAUGCUGCAAAAACAGUUACUUUUGUGCACAAAAAUGAUUAUGAAAUUUUGUCCCAUACCCAUAUUCUUCUGACCUGGCACUUUCAGACUUCAUCCUAUUUCAAAAUAUGUAAAAACAUGUUUAUUUGAUGAUGAUGAUAUCACUACUGCUAUGGAAAGGUGAUUUGUCACCA
Molecule: long non-coding RNA, 605 nt
Filed under: Androctonus crassicauda
Lineage: Eukaryota; Metazoa; Arthropoda; Arachnida; Scorpiones; Buthidae
Source: RNAcentral